This 3544-nucleotide long non-coding RNA is filed under the name Erythranthe guttata (spotted monkey flower). RNAcentral's name for it is "long non-coding RNA (EGUT_LNC000586)". The record is from RNAcentral. Lineage: Eukaryota; Viridiplantae; Streptophyta; Magnoliopsida; Lamiales; Phrymaceae.
AGGUUGAACGGGAAGUAUAUUGAGCUUCAAUUAACUCGGAGGUUUAUGGCAGAGGUGGUUAUGUUGCCUAGUCCGCUUGUUAAGCGCAUUUUGGAGAAAAAUAUGGAGGAGAAGAUGCGUGUCGGUGAAAUUAAAGAAGGUGAUUCGGUUACUGUUGACCUUGGUUCUGAUGGGAAGAUAUUGGUUCUUGACAGUAGAAGCGGUACUCUGGCGGAAGAGGCUGAGGAAGGUAGCAGUGGUGCUCCGGCAGAAGAGGGUGAGGAAGGUAGCAGUGGUGCUCCGGCAGAAGAGGCUCCGGCAGAAGAGGCUGAGGAACCAGUUAUUGUCUAGAUGUGCGCCCCAUUGUCCUUUUUCCUGUGGUGUUUAUUUAUUAUUAUUUUUUUAUCGUUCUGGCUAUGUUGAGGUGACUGUGUAGAGCCAGUGCAACGAGAAUGAUUUAGAGUGCUCUUUAACUUCAGAAUCGUUCUGGCUGUGUUGAGCUGACCUCCCAGUUGUUAUAGUAGACUAAAACUUUCCUAUGUAAACAAUUUAUUUUUAAUAAAAGUUUAUUCGUUCGAGAAUUUGCAUUUGGUUAUUAGUCGCCUAUAAUUUGAAAAAUGAUUAUUCAAUAUAUUAAUUGCAAGAGUCCAAAUAUUGUAAUAGUAUUUGAGAUGUUGUGUUAAGUUAGGAUGUUGUACACGUAAGAUCAUUUUUAAAGUUCGUUUAGAAUAUUAAGUUUAUAAGCUUAAUUGGGAACUUAUAAACUUAAUAUUCUAAACGAACUUUAAUUGUGUGUGUGAGAGAGAGAGAGAGUGAGAGAGGCGGCGGAAAAAAGCUGAGCCGCCGUGCCAAAACCCUUAUUGGUUUUACCGCCAAAAGCCUCGUCAAUUUCGUUCUGUCCUUGAUUUUGUUUGGUUGAUUUACACCUUUGUGUUGAUUUAUUCCUGUAAAUCUAUCUUAAUUUUUUUUAAGUUUAUGAUAAUUAUAGAAAAAAAAAAUUAUUAUUAUUUUAAGAUAAAUAGUAUAUGAUUCUUCAAGAAUUAUUGUUCUUUUUAUGAAUAAACAUCAACCCAAAUCAUUUGUUGGUUCCGAUUAAUUCAUGAUUCGUAUUUUUAGAGAAAAUUUCACUUUUUUUAAACUUUAAAUUCUAAUUAUUAAUAGGUGUUUGAGACAUUACUAAGAAAAAUCUCAAAAUAAGUUUAAAUAAUUCCGCUUGAAAGCCAUACAACUAAUCGAGCUCGAGUCAGAGUUCAUCGAACUUUAAUUAUUAUUAUUUUUAGUUCAAAUAGGAUAGUUGCCCAAAAAGCUUAAACCUUUGUAUCAUAAGUGAUGAUGAUAGCAUUGAUAAUAAUGUAUAUUAAUCAAUAUAGAUUAUAUAACAUUGACUCGUCCUUAGUGAACUCAUCCAAUUUGGCAUAUCUCAUUAAAAAAAAUGAUUAAAUAAGAAUGUCAAGAAAAAGAAGACUAAAACUUUAAAAGUGGGUUAGAACUUUAAACAUUAAAUACUUUAGAUAGGAAUCAUUAUGUAGCCAUUUCAUCUCAAUAUACACUAACAAUUUUCAAAAGUAGGUGGUGUUUACUAUAAGCUUAUUUAAAAGCAGAAGUUAAUAAUUGUGAGUUAAGUGAGUAUUAAAUGUUUAUUUCAAAAAAUUGGGGACAUUUGCAAAUAUGUUAGAAAAUCAACUUAAAUAGAAAAAACAAGUCUAGAGAUGUUUUUAAAAAAAUAGUUUAAAGCAACUUAUUUUAGGAGAAACAUGAACAAAAGCUAGUUUUACAAACACCGAGAAACAGAUUAUGAGCAAAAAAAACCUCAAAAGCUGCUUCUAAAAAUUUUAGCAAACAAGUGAAUGAAACAAAUAUUUAGUACGUGAAGAAAUAAUUAAAGGGCUAAACCUAUUUAAGCCCAAUUAGUAAAUUGGGCUCAGUGUUCAAAUCCGGGUCCUUCAAACGACCCACUUUUAAAACGGACAUAGAUAUUCGCCGAAGCACCACGAUUCUGAAACGCAACAAAGAUAAGGCAGAGAAAUCGUUUGAAACGUCUACAGAUGUCUACAGUUCUCUCAUUUUUUUUCUCGCUCAAUCCUCCGCUGUUCAUCCACUCGCUCUCGUUCUUCUUCAUUUAUUUUCAACGCUCUUACUCAGGUAAAUCCUCUUUUCCUUACUCUUUAAUUCAUAUAUAUUCGUCGAUAACUGCCGAUUUCUCACAUCUAGGGUUCUUUUCUCGAUUGUCUGUUAGAUUUAAAUCUUUGUGGAGAAUCGAGUGUUAGUCUUGAUUUUUUUAUGAUUUAGAUUCUUCAUUUUUUGGUUUUUUUUUUAAAUCUGUUUAUUGCGUGUGAUUUUAUGUUUAUUGAAGCUUGUGUUUAAUUUAGGGUUUAUGUUGGAAAAAUUUGGGUCUUUAGUGGGAGUUUUGCUAAAGAUCUAGACUUGAGAUCUAGACUUGAGAUGAUUAUAAAGAUCUAGACUUGCCGCCACAAUGAUACGAAUUAGAAGCUAUUGUUUUUCUGCGGUGCUGGUCAAUUGUAAUAGGAUUUGAGUUUCGCCGUGGUUUUGGCUUUCUGAUUGCUUCCUUUGUUGUUAGAGUUUGAAAUGAUAUCAGUUUCAUUCUAAUUUGAGAAAAUGCCUGCUGACUCCUUAAUUUCAGAUAUUUGAAAAAAAAAAUGUUUUCUUUUAAAACAGAAUUGGAUGCUUGUAAGAUUGUUUACAUUGUUGAACCCAGAAACAAAAUUAGUCUCUGCAGAUAGCAUUCUAAAAGCCUCUCAUUAUUUGAAAUAACAAGCAGAUCACCAGUGCUGUAUUUGUUGGUAUUCUGUGGAUGUUGAUGCAUUCAUUUUGGCUAUUUCAUAUCUAGAAAUGCUAUUGUAUGUUUUGGUUGUUUUCUAAUUUCUUUAACUUAUACGCAGACCACUCGGGUGCAGACAUGAUUGAUCGUUUUAUCGACAAUACGAUGUUCAGGGAUUAUAAUGAAGCACAUAAGGUGAGGUUGAACGGGAAGUAUAUUGAGCUUCAAUUAACUCGGAGGUUUAUGGCAGAGGUGGUUACGUUGCCUAGUCCGCUUGUUAAGCGCAUUUUGGAGAAAAAUAUGGAGGAGAAGAUGCGUGUCGGUGAAAUUAAAGAAGGUGAUUCGGUUACUGUUGACCUUGGUUCUGAUGGGAAGAUAUUGGUUCUUGACAGUAGAAGCGGUACUCUGGCGGAAGAGGCUGAGGAAGGUAGCAGUGGUGCUCCGGCAGAAGAGGCUCCGGCAGAAGAGGCUGAGGAACCAGUUAUUGUCUAGAUGUGCGCCCCAUUGUCCUUUUUCCUGUGGUGUUUAUUUAUUAUUAUUUUUUUAUCGUUCUGGCUAUGUUGAGGUGACUGUGUAGAGCCAGUGCAACGAGAAUGAUUUAGAGUGCUCUUUAACUUCAGAAUCGUUCUGGCUGUGUUGAGCUGACCUCCCAGUUGUUAUAGUAGACUAAAACUUUCCUAUGUAAACAAUUUAUUUUUAAUAAAAGUUUAUUCGUUCGAGAAUUUGCAUUUGGUUAUUAGUCGCCUAUAAUUUGAAAAAUGAUUAUUCAAUAUAUUAAUUGCAAGA